UGUCAAAAGUUCUAAUAAUACCACUCCAAGUCCAUACACAUCGCUCUUUGCUGUCAACACAUUCAGACCAUAGUAUUCCGGAUCAAUGUACCCAACUGUACCAGCAGCCUUCAUUGGCCUGCUGCUGUGAUCGCCCAUUAACGAUAAUCCAAAAUCAGACACUCUUGCAAUCCAGUUUCCAUCAAUCAAGAUGUUGGAUGACUUAAUGUCCCUGUGAAUUAUAGGCGGAACUGCAUAGUUGUGAAGGUAUUCAAUGCCUCGGGCAG
This 266-nucleotide unclassified non-coding RNA is filed under the name Hevea brasiliensis (rubber tree). The record is from RNAcentral. Lineage: Eukaryota; Viridiplantae; Streptophyta; Magnoliopsida; Malpighiales; Euphorbiaceae.